AUUACUUUGUAAUUUUAAAUUCCCAUAUCUUAUAAGUCGAAGAACUUGAUUCCAUGGCAGCGUGAUUUUCAACGGCUGACGGAGCUGGGCGAGUGAAAGUGGGAAAAGCGAUGCGGAACGAAAUGCAAAUCAAGCGAUGCCUGCACCAAAACGACACACAAACAAAUCGCCAACUGCCGCAGUGCCAGCCGCCGGCUGUCCGCAUUUCGAAUGCCACAGAGUUGCAACAAUUCCAAUUCAAUUUGUCCCCCGGGAGGUGCACGGUGUAACUGAUGUGGGGACUGGAGAUGUAAGCUGGAGCAGCGGAUCUGAUGGCACUGCCUUUGACAAGUCGCUCCGCCAGCGUCACGUAAAAAGCCCCCCAAUGCAGCUCCGUUGUCCGAUCCUGGCUUCCUUGUUGCCGCCUGACACGUGUGCAACAUGCAGCUCAUGACAGACAACUUUGUUGCUACCACAGCUCAUGCUUGCUAGGUAUGUGGGGUAUAUUAGACGCAAAUCCAAAAGGGUUGGGGUAAUAAGUAAGUGGCACUUCAUACUAUUAAUUUCCCAUGAAAUGUAUGUAAAAUCUAUAUUUAAUUCGAAUAAAUAUUAAGGAACGAG
Molecule: non-coding RNA, 600 nt
Organism: Drosophila melanogaster (fruit fly)
Lineage: Eukaryota; Metazoa; Arthropoda; Insecta; Diptera; Drosophilidae
Source: Ensembl